GGGGAAUUUUGGACAAUGGGGGCAACCCUGAUCCAGCCAUGCCGCGUGAGUGAAGAAGGCCUUCGGGUUGUAAAGCUCUUUCGGCGGGGAAGAAAUGGCAACGGCUAAUAUCCGUUGUUGAUGACGGUACCCGCAUAAGAAGCACCGGCUAACUACGUGCCAGCAGCCGCGGUAAUACGUAGGGUGCGAGCGUUAAUCGGAAUUACUGGGCGUAAAGCGUGCGCAGGCGGUUGUGUAAGACAGGUGUGAAAUCCCCGGGCUUAACCUGGGAACUGCGCUUGUGACUGCACGGCUAGAGUACGGCAGAGGGGGGUGGAAUUCCACGUGUAGCAGUGAAAUGCGUAGAGAUGUGGAGGAACACCGAUGGCGAAGGCAGCCCCCUGGGUUAGUACUGACGCUCAUGCACGAAAGCGUGGGGAGCAAACA
This 426-nucleotide ribosomal RNA is filed under the name uncultured Rhodocyclaceae bacterium. Its description in RNAcentral is "bacterial SSU rRNA". It matches the Rfam family "Bacterial small subunit ribosomal RNA", at positions 356 to 774 of the family's 1533-position model. The record is from RNAcentral. Lineage: Bacteria; Pseudomonadati; Pseudomonadota; Betaproteobacteria; Rhodocyclales; Rhodocyclaceae.